RNAcentral lists this transfer RNA (77 nucleotides) under Candidatus Hydrogenedentota bacterium. Its description in RNAcentral is "tRNA-Ala". It matches the Rfam family "tRNA". From Rfam's summary of the family: Transfer RNA (tRNA) molecules are approximately 80 nucleotides in length. Lineage: Bacteria; Pseudomonadati; Candidatus Hydrogenedentota. The record is from RNAcentral.
GGGGCUGUAGCUCAGUUUGGGAGAGCGCCGCAUUCGCAUUGCGGAGGUCGACGGUUCGAUCCCGUUCAGCUCCACCA